RNAcentral lists this ribosomal RNA (1091 nucleotides) under Salmonella enterica. RNAcentral's name for it is "partial 23S ribosomal RNA". It matches the Rfam family "Bacterial large subunit ribosomal RNA", at positions 408 to 1503 of the family's 2925-position model. The record is from RNAcentral. Lineage: Bacteria; Pseudomonadati; Pseudomonadota; Gammaproteobacteria; Enterobacterales; Enterobacteriaceae.
AUGAGUAGGGCGGGACACGUGGUAUCCUGUCUGAAUAUGGGGGGACCAUCCUCCAAGGCUAAAUACUCCUGACUGACCGAUAGUGAACCAGUACCGUGAGGGAAAGGCGAAAAGAACCCCGGCGAGGGGAGUGAAAAAGAACCUGAAACCGUGUACGUACAAGCAGUGGGAGCACCCUUUGGGGUGUGACUGCGUACCUUUUGUAUAAUGGGUCAGCGACUUAUAUUCUGUAGCAAGGUUAACCGAAUAGGGGAGCCGGAGGGAAACCGAGUCUUAAUUGGGCGUUAAGUUGCAGGGUAUAGACCCGAAACCCGGUGAUCUAGCCAUGGGCAGGUUGAAGGUUGGGUAACACUAACUGGAGGACCGAACCGACUAAUGUUGAAAAAUUAGCGGAUGACCUGUGGCUGGGGGUGAAAGGCCAAUCAAACCGGGAGAUAGCUGGUUCUCCCCGAAAGCUAUUUAGGUAGCGCCUCGUGAAUUCAUCUCCGGGGGUAGAGCACUGUUUCGGCUAGGGGGCCAUCCCGGCUUACCAACCCGAUGCAAACUGCGAAUACCGGAGAAUGUUAUCACGGGAGACACACGGCGGGUGCUAACGUCCGUCGUGAAGAGGGAAACAACCCAGACCGCCAGCUAAGGUCCCAAAGUCAUGGUUAAGUGGGAAACGAUGUGGGAAGGCCCAGACAGCCAGGAUGUUGGCUUAGAAGCAGCCAUCAUUUAAAGAAAGCGUAAUAGCUCACUGGUCGAGUCGGCCUGCGCGGAAGAUGUAACGGGGCUAAACCAUGCACCGAAGCUGCGGCAGCGACGCUGAUGCGUUGUUGGGUAGGGGAGCGUUCUGUAAGCCUGCGAAGGUGGCCUGUGAGGGUUGCUGGAGGUAUCAGAAGUGCGAAUGCUGACAUAAGUAACGAUAAAGCGGGUGAAAAGCCCGCUCGCCGGAAGACCAAGGGUUCCUGUCCAACGUUAAUCGGGGCAGGGUGAGUCGACCCCUAAGGCGAGGCCGAAAGGCGUAGUCGAUGGGAAACGGGUUAAUAUUCCCGUACUUGGUGUUACUGCGAAGGGGGGACGGAGAAGGCUAUGUUGGCCGGGCGACGGUU